Molecule: transfer RNA, 76 nt
Filed under: compost metagenome
Description: tRNA-Phe
Rfam family: tRNA
About the family: Transfer RNA (tRNA) molecules are approximately 80 nucleotides in length. Their secondary structure includes four short double-helical elements and three loops (D, anti-codon, and T loops).
Source: RNAcentral
GGACAGGUAGCUCAGUUGGUAGAGCUUCGGUGUGAAGUACCGAGAGUCAGGGGUUCAAGUCCCUUUCUGUCCACCA